AGCUCAGUUGGUUAGAGCAACAGACUCAUAAUCUGGAGGUCCCUGGUUCAAGCCCAGG
This 58-nucleotide transfer RNA is filed under the name Bacteroides uniformis. Its description in RNAcentral is "tRNA_Met_CAT". It matches the Rfam family "tRNA", at positions 9 to 63 of the family's 71-position model. Rfam says of the family: Transfer RNA (tRNA) molecules are approximately 80 nucleotides in length. Their secondary structure includes four short double-helical elements and three loops (D, anti-codon, and T loops). The record is from RNAcentral. Lineage: Bacteria; Pseudomonadati; Bacteroidota; Bacteroidia; Bacteroidales; Bacteroidaceae.